AGCAGCCGCGGUAAUUCCAGCUCCAAUAGCGUAUAUUAAAGUUGUUGCAGUUAAAAAGCUCGUAGUUGAAUUUCGGGAUCAAUAUGUUGGUCAUGCCUCGGUACGUACUAGCUUAUUGGUUUCUCCUUUCUGAAGAACCAUGAUGUCAUUUAUUUGGUGUCGUGGGGAAUCAGGACUGUUACUUUGAAAAAAUUAGAGUGUUUAAAGCAGGCUCACGCUUGAAUACAUUAGCAUGGAAUAAUGAAAUAGGACGUUUGAUUCUAUUUUGUUGGUUUCUAGGAUCGACGUAAUGAUUAAUAGGGAUAGUUGGGGGCAUUAGUAUUCAAUUGUCAGAGGUGAAAUUCUUGGAUUUAUUGAAGACUAACUACUGCGAAAGCAUUUGCCAAGGAUGUUUUCAUUAAUCAAGAACGAAAGUUAGGGGAUCGAAGACGAUCAGAUACCGUCGUAGUCUUAACCAUAAACUAUGCCGACUAGGGAUCGGAUGAUGUUAAUUUUUUAAUGACUCAUUCGGCGCCUUACG
Molecule: ribosomal RNA, 520 nt
Filed under: uncultured Glomeraceae
Lineage: Eukaryota; Fungi; Glomeromycota; Glomeromycetes; Glomerales; Glomeraceae
Description: SSU rRNA
Rfam family: Eukaryotic small subunit ribosomal RNA
Source: RNAcentral